Molecule: non-coding RNA, 527 nt
Filed under: Pelodiscus sinensis (Chinese soft-shelled turtle)
Lineage: Eukaryota; Metazoa; Chordata; Testudines; Trionychidae
Description: Eukaryotic small subunit ribosomal RNA
Rfam family: Eukaryotic small subunit ribosomal RNA
Source: Rfam by way of RNAcentral
UGUUCAGAGCAAAUGCUUGGCAGAUAAAUUUUUUCAAAGUGUUUCUGAGAAAGGAGGAUCAUGACAUUACCUUAAAAUAAUUGGCACUAGGUGUCCUGAUCAGCCUGCCUUAAUUGAUUCUAGCAAGUUCCUGAUUGUUCUGGAUUAGUCCUUUUUACCUUACCCAGGGAAAGCAGACAUAUUUAAUCUGAGGCUAACAUAUCUGCCUUUGAAUACUCUCCCAUGGUUGAGACGAUGUAUUUGAAUAUCUGCCCCAUCAACUCUCGACGGUAAUCCUACGCUUACCAUGGUGACCACAGGUGAUGGAGAAUCAGGGUUUGAUUCCGGAAAGGAAGCCUGAGAAAUGGCUACCACAUCCAAGGAAGGCAGCAGGCACACAAAUUACCCACUCCCAAACCUGGGGAGGUAGUGACAAAAAAUAUCAAUACAGGACUCUUUCAAGGCCCUGUAAUUGGAAAGAGUACACUUUUGGCAGGGCCUCUUGCCAUCAACAAUGGGUGGGGAAGCCCUGGUGGGCCAGUCUCUAU